AGGUCCAGGACUACCCACUUCCCUUGGAAUGGUGUUGCCAUCACUGUUCUGGCACCGGAGAAAGGAUUCUACAUCGUUAGGAGAAAAGAAAAAGGAGAAUUUGGGCUUGCACUGAGAGGAUUACCUUUGGUGGUCUGGAAGUGGUG
Molecule: long non-coding RNA, 146 nt
Organism: Homo sapiens (human)
Lineage: Eukaryota; Metazoa; Chordata; Mammalia; Primates; Hominidae
Source: Ensembl